This 497-nucleotide ribosomal RNA is filed under the name uncultured bacterium. RNAcentral's name for it is "partial 16S ribosomal RNA". It matches the Rfam family "Bacterial small subunit ribosomal RNA", at positions 28 to 507 of the family's 1533-position model. The record is from RNAcentral.
GACGAACGCUGGCGGCGUGCCUAAUACAUGCAAGUUGAGCGCUGAAGGUUGGUACUUGUACCAACUGGAUGAGCAGCGAACGGGUGAGUAACGCGUGGGGAAUCUGCCUUUGAGCGGGGGACAACAUUUGGAAACGAAUGCUAAUACCGCAUAAAAACUUUAAACACAAGUUUUAAGUUUGAAAGAUGCAAUUGCAUCACUCAAAGAUGAUCUCGCGUUGUAUUAGCUAGGUGGUGAGGUAAAGGCUCACCAAGGCGAGGAUACGUAGCCCACCUGAGAGGGUUGUCGGCCCCAUUGGGACGGAGACACGGCCCAAACUCCUACGGGAGGCAGCAGGAGGGAAUCUUCGGCAAUGGGCGAAAGUCUUACCGAGCAACGCCGCGUGGGUGAAGAAGGUUUUCGGAUCGGAAAACUCUGUUGGUAGAGAAGAAAGUUGGGGGGAGUGGAAAGCUCAUCAAGUGACGGUAACUACCCAGAAAGGGACGGCUAACUACGUG